AUUGAACGCUGGCGGCGUGCCUAAUACAUGCAAGUCGAACGCAGUGGGGACGGGUGAGUAACCCGUGGGUCACCUCCCAUCAGAGGGGAUAACACUUGGAAACAGGUGCUAAACCGAUACUGAUGGAUGGACCCGCGGUGCAGUAGCUAGUUGGAGAGGUAACGGCGCCCCAAGGACACGAGUCAUAGCCGACCUGAGAGGGUGAUCGGCCAAACUGUGACUGAGACACGGCCCAGACUCCGACGGGAGGCAGCAGUAGGGAAUCUUCGGCAAUGGACGAAAGUCUGACCUAGCAACGCCGCGUGAGUGAAGAAGGUUUUCGGAGCGUAAAACUCUGUUGUUAGAGAAUCGGUAUCUAACCAGAAAGCCACGGCUAACUACGUGCCAGCAGCCGCGGUAAUAC
This 403-nucleotide ribosomal RNA is filed under the name uncultured bacterium. RNAcentral's name for it is "partial 16S ribosomal RNA". It matches the Rfam family "Bacterial small subunit ribosomal RNA", at positions 30 to 526 of the family's 1533-position model. The record is from RNAcentral.